AGGUCAUAGUGAUCCGGUGGUUCUGAAUGGAAGGGCCAUCGCUCAACGGAUAAAAGGUACUCCGGGGAUAACAGGCUGAUACCGCCCAAGAGUUCAUAUCGACGGCGGUGUUUGGCACCUCGAUGUCGGCUCAUCACAUCCUGGGGCUGAAGUAGGUCCCAAGGGUAUGGCUGUUCGCCAUUUAAAGUGGUACGCGAGCUGGGUUUAGAACGUCGUGAGACAGUUCGGUCCCUAUCUGCCGUGGGCGCUGGAGAACUGAGGGGGGCUGCUCCUAGUACGAGAGGACCGGAGUGGACGCAUCACUGGUGUUCGGGUUGUCAUGCCAAUGGCACUGCCCGGUAGCUAAAUGCGGAAGAGAUAAGUGCUGAAAGCAUCUAAGCACGAAACUUGCCCCGAGAUGAGUUCU
RNAcentral lists this ribosomal RNA (406 nucleotides) under Escherichia coli. RNAcentral's name for it is "partial 23S ribosomal RNA". It matches the Rfam family "Bacterial large subunit ribosomal RNA", at positions 2407 to 2812 of the family's 2925-position model. The record is from RNAcentral. Lineage: Bacteria; Pseudomonadati; Pseudomonadota; Gammaproteobacteria; Enterobacterales; Enterobacteriaceae.